Molecule: long non-coding RNA, 1409 nt
Organism: Ostrea edulis (European flat oyster)
Lineage: Eukaryota; Metazoa; Mollusca; Bivalvia; Ostreida; Ostreidae
Exons: 2
Source: RefSeq, a predicted model, not a curated record
ACAGAAAUUCAAUCCCCCGCCAUCUACACAGUACAAUGGUGAAGUAUCUAUCCGCGUAAAGGCCAUGCAGGCGGGUAUAUUCUCCAAUAUUUGGCCAAUCAGGUUUUUUUGUAUAACAUUGCUUUUUCGAAUGUUACAUGUAUUCAUAGUUUUAGAAGUGUACAUAAGUUAGUUUUUCUGGUAGCAGACGAAGUAUUUAAUUUUGCCAUUAAUCUUUUUCAAACAAUUGUGAAGUCAAAAUAUUAUGCAAGUAAAGUUGGUUUGAAUGUUGUUUUACGUUUUUCACUAAAAUAGAGACGUCACCACCUUGAGCGAAAUGCAUCACAUUUUGACCAGGAUGCAUUGGGUUUACGGUCGUAGUUGUGAUGUUUCUCAACCGCGCCAACACUUGCUGUAACACAGGUUGGUAGUGUGGUCGAAGAACAAAGAACACGUUCGUGCGCACAUGUUCUCGUCGUUCGCGACUCUAAGAACGGAGCACGAGAGCAACGGGAACGGCGACCUCGAACGCACUCUGAGUUAGUAUGAAGGGUAGCAGAGUUAGCCAAGGAUUGCCGAUUGCGACCGGUCAAUUUAUAGCAUUAGUGAGAUUCGCGUAUUCGGCUCGGCUGAACAAAUGGACUGACAUCGUCACGGAAUCUCGGAGCGGUCUUUCAAAAUUUGCUUUCAGCUUCGUCCGGUUCUAGCAAUCAAUGUGCACUUAGGUGCUGUUCGCUUAUAGAUUGUAGUUCCCGCGGACUCUUACAAUGUAGGUUGCUGUUGGCUUAAUAUAGAUUGUAGUUCCCGCGGACUCCUACACAGUGUAGUUUUUAUGACUCAGUAAACCCGGAUACUCUCUUUAGAAUUUAAAGAAAGAAUUAAAAAGAUGAAAGGCGAACAUCACUGUCAUGAUCGUGUGCAGGAUUGGACAAAACAAGAUGGCAGACGGCAUUUCCAAACAAAGAUCCAGUCAGGAGCGGACUUCUUAAAGCAUAAAAGCUGCAAGUGAAUGAAGUGUGUUCUAUUUUUUGUCUCCUACUAAAACCAUGGUUUUGACAAACCUAAGAGAGCACGUGGAGCAAGGAACUAUCAGUAAGCCGGAAGAGCCAGCUCGAAAAUCAUUAAGUGUUUGAGAAUUUCACCGCGCACAUGAAUCUAAAAUUCUGCCACACGUUAGAAGGAGCCUUGUUCUCGAAGAUCAACAUGUUGAAAAGUCUUCAUUUUGCAGAAGCAAAUACAUUUAUAUUGUAUAUACACAUGUACCGUAUAAGUUUUACAUGUAGACCAUGUUCGAUUCCCAACCACUUAACAUUUGUGAUAUCUGCAUGGAAUUAUUAAAACUGAGCAUGGUUUGACGUAUAAUAAUCUCUUCAGGCAUGAUGGUUUACAUUUCACAAAGCUGUUCAAUGACAAUAAAGACUAUAAGAUGU